RNAcentral lists this small nuclear RNA (18 nucleotides) under Arabidopsis thaliana (thale cress). RNAcentral's name for it is "snRNA_17905". Lineage: Eukaryota; Viridiplantae; Streptophyta; Magnoliopsida; Brassicales; Brassicaceae. The record is from RNAcentral.
GCUUGGCAGAAUCAGCGG